UAAUGUCCAAGAUCAGCACAGCUAGAAAAGAAUAACAGGUCUUGCUCGUGUGACGGACACUGUGCAUCCCCUCCAAUAGCCAGUCUUGCCCC
RNAcentral lists this long non-coding RNA (92 nucleotides) under Sus scrofa (pig). Its description in RNAcentral is "lncRNA (ENSSSCG00030059270.1)". The record is from RNAcentral. Lineage: Eukaryota; Metazoa; Chordata; Mammalia; Artiodactyla; Suidae.